UCCGAGUUGACCCCGGCAGUCUCCUAUGAGUCCCCGGCAUGACCCGCUGGCAACAUAGGACGAGGGUUGCGCUCGUUGCGGGACUUAACCCAACAUCUCACGACACGAGCUGACGACAACCAUGCACCACCUGCGCAGGACCCUUGCGGACCUUCCAUCUCUGAAAGAUUUCCCUGCAUGUCAAGCCUUGGUAAGGUUCUGCGCGUUGCUUCGAAUUAAACCACAUGCUCCACCGCUUGUGCGGGCCCCCGUCAAUUCCUUUGAGUUUCAGUCUUGCGACCGUACUCCCCAGGCGGAGUGCUUAAUGUGUUGACGUCGGCACAGCAGGGGUCGAUACCCGCUACACCAAGCACUCAUCGUUUACGGCGUGGACUAC
RNAcentral lists this unclassified non-coding RNA (376 nucleotides) under uncultured bacterium. RNAcentral's name for it is "contains 16S-23S intergenic spacer region". The record is from RNAcentral.